Molecule: ribosomal RNA, 301 nt
Filed under: uncultured bacterium
Lineage: Bacteria
Description: partial 16S ribosomal RNA
Rfam family: Bacterial small subunit ribosomal RNA
Source: RNAcentral
CAGUCGCCGCGGUAAUACGUAGGGCGCAAGCGUUGUCCGGAAUUAUUGGGCGUAAAGAGCUCGUAGGCGGUCUGUCGCGUCUGGUGUGAAAUCCCGAGGCUCAACCUCGGGCUUGCAUCGGGUACGGGCAGACUAGAGUGCGGUAGGGGAGACUGGAAUUCCUGGUGUAGCGGUGGAAUGCGCAGAUAUCAGGAGGAACACCGAUGGCGAAGGCAGGUCUCUGGGCCGCAACUGACGCUGAGAAGCGAAAGCAUGGGGAGCGAACAGGAUUAGAUACCCCAGUAGUCCCUGUCUCUUAUAC